UCCUGCAUCUUUAGGACAUUCAUAUCUCCAGGACAUUAAUUCCUCAACAUUAUGGUGCUCUUGUUGCUCUUGUUUUCCUUGGUGGCUUUUUCUAAAGGCAUCUUCUCAGAUAUUCAGCUUAUAUCAUCUGGGCCAGGAAUAGUGAGACCAGGAGAGAAUCUCCACCUGCUUUGUAAAGUCACAGGUUUCUCCAUAUCUACUCGGUACUAUUGGUGGCACUGGAUCCGUCAAGCUCCUGGGAAAGGUCUGGAAUGGAUGGCACGGAUAUACCCCUAUGAUGGCGACACAAAAUAUGCCCCUUCUCUGAAGAACCGAGCAACCAUUUCUUUAGAUGCCUCAAAGAACCAGUUCUCUCUCCAGCUGAACUCCCUGACAGCUGCAGACUCCGCUGUUUAUUUCUGUGCCCGAAGUGACACAGUGAGACAAAGCCUAUUGGCUCCCUGUUCAAAAAGUAGAAGUUAUGCUUCUAUAAACAAAUACACUGUGAAAGUUUUGACAGAGACAUUCUACAUUCUACAGAUGAUGCGGAACAACAUCCAAACUGCUUGUCUCUUCAAUCUGUAA
Molecule: non-coding RNA, 564 nt
Organism: Zootoca vivipara (common lizard)
Lineage: Eukaryota; Metazoa; Chordata; Lepidosauria; Squamata; Lacertidae
Source: the annotation of a RefSeq genome assembly